AUGAGACAGUAUUGGUGGGGAGUGGAGAACGGUAAAAGGAAGAUGGCUUGGCUCAGUUGGGAGAAGAUGAUUCUACCCAAAGAUAUGGGAGGGAUGGGGUUUAGAGAUAUGCAGGCGUUCAACCAGGCGUUGCUAGCUAAGCAGGCUUGGAGGCUACUAGACUGCCCUGACAGCAUGUGCGCUCGACUGCUUCGGUCCAAAUAUUACCCGAAUGGUAAUCUACUGGACACAGUUUUCCCCUCUAGCUCGUCUACAGUCUGGAAAGGAAUCACAUAUGACCUUGAAUUGUUGAAGGAAGGACUGAUAUGGAGGGUGGGGAACGGUAUGAUGAUUAAAACAUGGAGAGAUGCCUGGAUUCCC
Molecule: ribosomal RNA, 360 nt
Filed under: Triticum aestivum (bread wheat)
Lineage: Eukaryota; Viridiplantae; Streptophyta; Magnoliopsida; Poales; Poaceae
Description: partial small subunit ribosomal RNA
Source: RNAcentral